Molecule: long non-coding RNA, 209 nt
Filed under: Phoenix dactylifera (date palm)
Lineage: Eukaryota; Viridiplantae; Streptophyta; Magnoliopsida; Arecales; Arecaceae
Description: long non-coding RNA (PDAC_LNC014214)
Source: RNAcentral
GGAGUGUGGAGACACUGGUAUGCCACACAAGUGAAGUGUAGAAGUACAUUUCACUAAACGUGACCAAUUCCGGAACGCUCUACUGUCGAGAGAUGUUCCAAGUGGAUAUGGGUAUAAGUUUGGCCCUCUGACCUGAGACCGCAACCUGUGACUAGCAAGCAACUCACUGUACUUUGGUACCGGACUACCUAAAUUUCUAAUUCAGUGAC